RNAcentral lists this ribosomal RNA (490 nucleotides) under uncultured bacterium. Its description in RNAcentral is "partial 16S ribosomal RNA". It matches the Rfam family "Bacterial small subunit ribosomal RNA", at positions 28 to 507 of the family's 1533-position model. The record is from RNAcentral.
AUUGAACGCUGGCGGCAUGCCUUACACAUGCAAGUCGAGCGGCAUCGCGGGAAAGCUUGCUUUCCUGGCGGCGAGUGGCGAACGGGUGAGUAACACAUCGGAACGUACCGGCUAGUGGGGGAUAACCCGUCGAAAGACGGGCUAAUACCGCAUACGCUCUUCGGAGGAAAGCAGGGGACCUUUGGGCCUUGCGCUAGCCGAGCGGCCGAUGUCCGAUUAGCUAGUUGGUGGGGUAAGGGCCUACCAAGGCGACGAUCGGUAGCGGGUCUGAGAGGACGAUCCGCCACACUGGGACUGAGACACGGCCCAGACUCCUACGGGAGGCAGCAGUGGGGAAUCUUGGACAAUGGGGGCAACCCUGAUCCAGCAAUGCCGCGUGGGUGAAGAAGGCCUUCGGGUUGUAAAGCCCUUUCGGCAGGGAAGAAAUCGGCGGGGCGAAUAACCCUGCUGGAUGACGGUACCUGCAGAAGAAGCACCGGCUAACUACGUG